This 253-nucleotide ribosomal RNA is filed under the name uncultured bacterium. RNAcentral describes it as "partial 16S ribosomal RNA". It matches the Rfam family "Bacterial small subunit ribosomal RNA", at positions 524 to 776 of the family's 1533-position model. The record is from RNAcentral.
UACGUAGGGGGCAAGCGUUAUCCGGAAUCAUUGGGCGUAAAGCGCGUGUAGGCGGUUCCGUAAGUCCGCUCUGAAAGCCCAGGGCUCAACCCUGGGAGGCGGGUGGAUACUACGGAACUGGAGUACGGAAGAGGAGAUUGGAAUUCCUGGUGUAGCGGUGAAAUGCGCAGAUAUCAGGAGGAACACCAACAGCGAAGGCAGAUCUCUGGGACGGUACUGACGCUGAGACGCGAAAGCGUGGGGAGCGAACAGG